UCAUAGUGGGGAAUAACUUCUCGAAAGAGGAGCUAAUACCGCAUAAGUUCUAUGUUAUGACAGACAUAGAAGAAACCCAAGUUGUAAAAGACAAGGGGCUGAGAGAUGGGACUGCGGCGGAUUAGCUAGAUGGUGAGGUAACGGCCCACCAUGGCGACGAUCCGUAGCUGGUCUGAGAGGACGGCCAGCCACACUGGGACUGAGAGACGGCCCAG
RNAcentral lists this ribosomal RNA (215 nucleotides) under uncultured bacterium. RNAcentral describes it as "partial 16S ribosomal RNA". It matches the Rfam family "Bacterial small subunit ribosomal RNA", at positions 131 to 334 of the family's 1533-position model. The record is from RNAcentral.